Molecule: Y RNA, 102 nt
Filed under: Propithecus coquereli (Coquerel's sifaka)
Lineage: Eukaryota; Metazoa; Chordata; Mammalia; Primates; Indriidae
Description: Y RNA (ENSPCOG00000010711.1)
Rfam family: Y RNA
About the family: Y RNAs are components of the Ro ribonucleoprotein particle (Ro RNP), in association with Ro60 and La proteins. The Y RNAs and Ro60 and La proteins are well conserved, but the function of the Ro RNP is not known.
Source: Rfam by way of RNAcentral
GGUUGAUCUGAGUGCAGUGGUGUUUACAACGAAUUGAUCAUAACCAGUUACAGAUUCCUUUGUUCCCUCUCCACUCCCACUGCUUCACCUGACCAGCCUUAA